AGCCUGAUGCAGCGACGCCGCGUGAGGGAUGACGGCCUUCGGGUUGUAAACCUCUUUCAGAAGGGAAGAAGCUCUUCGGGGUGACGGUACCUGCAGAAGAAGCGCCGGCUAACUACGUGCCAGCAGCCGCGGUAAUACGUAGGGCGCAAGCGUUGUCCGGAAUUAUUGGGCGUAAAGAGCUCGUAGGCGGUCUGUCGCGUCUGCUGUGAAAACGCGGGGCUCAACCCCGCGCCUGCAGUGGGUACGGGCAGACUAGAGUGCGGUAGGGGAGACUGGAAUUCCUGGUGUAGCGGUGGAAUGCGCAGAUAUCAGGAGGAACACCGGUGGCGAAGGCGGGUCUCUGGGCCGUUACUGACGCUGAGGAGCGAAAGCAUGGGGAGCGAACAGGAUUAGAUACCCUGGUAGUCCAUGCCGUAAACGUUGGGCACUAGGUGUGGGACCCAUUCCACGGGUUCCGUGCCGCAGCUAACGCAUUAAGUGCCCCGCCUGGGGAGUACGGCCGCAAGGCUAAAACUCAAAUGAAUUGACGGGG
RNAcentral lists this ribosomal RNA (532 nucleotides) under Georgenia soli. RNAcentral's name for it is "bacterial SSU rRNA". It matches the Rfam family "Bacterial small subunit ribosomal RNA", at positions 380 to 918 of the family's 1533-position model. The record is from RNAcentral. Lineage: Bacteria; Bacillati; Actinomycetota; Actinomycetes; Allobogoriellales; Allobogoriellaceae.